GGUGAACGCUGGCGGCGUGCCUAAUACAUGCAAGUCGGACGCACCACUUCGGUGGUGAGUGGCGAACGGGUGAGUAAUACAUAAGUAACCUGCCCUUGCGAGGGGGAUAACUAUUAGAAAUGAUAGCUAAGACCGCAUAGGUAUGAUGAUCGCAUGAUCGUGAUAUUAAAAAUCCGUAUGGAUUGCGCAAGGAUGGACUUAUGACGCAUUAGCUAGUUGGUGAGGUAACGGCUCACCAAGGCGACGAUGCGUAGCCGGCCUGAGAGGGUGGACGGCCACACUGGGACUGAGACACGGCCCAG
This 302-nucleotide ribosomal RNA is filed under the name uncultured bacterium. RNAcentral's name for it is "bacterial SSU rRNA". It matches the Rfam family "Bacterial small subunit ribosomal RNA", at positions 28 to 334 of the family's 1533-position model. The record is from RNAcentral.